This 439-nucleotide ribosomal RNA is filed under the name uncultured bacterium. RNAcentral's name for it is "partial 16S ribosomal RNA". It matches the Rfam family "Bacterial small subunit ribosomal RNA", at positions 339 to 795 of the family's 1533-position model. The record is from RNAcentral.
CUACGGGUCGCUGCAGUGAGGAAUAUUGCACAAUGGGGGGAACCCUGAUGCAGCAACGCCGCGUGGAGGAUGACGCAUUUCGGUGUGUAAACUCCUUUUAUAUGUCAAGAUAAUGACGGUAGCAUAUGAAUAAGCACCGGCUAACUCCGUGCCAGCAGCCGCGGUAAUACGGAGGGUGCAAGCGUUACUCGGAAUCACUGGGCGUAAAGGACGCGUAGGCGGGUUGGCAAGUCAGGUGUGAAAUCCUACAGCUUAACUGUAGAACUGCACUUGAAACUUCUAAUCUAGAGUAUGGGAGGGGAAGAUGGAAUUAGUGGUGUAGGGGUAAAAUCCGUAGAUAUCACUAGGAAUACCUAAAGCGAAGGCGAUCUCCUGGAACAUUACUGACGCUAAGGCGUGAAAGCGUGGGGAGCAAACAGGAUUAGAUACCCCGGUAGUC